This 5859-nucleotide long non-coding RNA is filed under the name Sus scrofa (pig). Its description in RNAcentral is "lncRNA (ENSSSCG00040035750.1)". The record is from RNAcentral. Lineage: Eukaryota; Metazoa; Chordata; Mammalia; Artiodactyla; Suidae.
CAUAUGGAAGUUUCCAGGCUAGGGGUCGAAUCGGAGCUGUAGCCACUGGCCUACGCCAGAGCCACAGCAAUGCUGGAUCCGAGCCGCGUCUGCAACCUACACCACAGCUCACGGCAAUGCCGGAUCGAAUCGUUAACCCACUGAACAAGGGCAGGGACCAAACCUGCAACCUCAUGGUUCCUAGUCGGAUUCGUUAACCACUGAGCCACGACGGGAACUCCCAGAAACCAAGAAAUUCUCAUGGUUAAACUGGAGAUUAAUUACAGGGAAGCAGUGUUAGCUAAGCCCGCAAAGAUAAAUUCUAUCCAGAUCAUAGAAGGCCUGGUCCACUGAAAAGUCAUUAGAAUGUCUUUGGGGAGUUCCCCUUGUGGCUCUAUGGUAACAAUCCUGACUAGUAUCCAUGAGGAUGCAGGUUCGAUCCCUGGCCUCGCACAAUGGGUUAAGGAUCUGGCAUUGCUGUGAGCUGUGGUGAAGGUUACAGACUUGGCUCAGAUCCCCCAUUACUGUGGCUGAGGCAUAGGCUGGCAGCUGCAGCUCCAAUUUGAUCUCUAGCCUGGGAACCUCCAUGAAGAGACAGAGAGAAGCUAGAAAUAAGGAAACUCAUGAGGAAAUGUCUGCAACAGGAGUAAUGAAAGGCCUUAAAUUAUGGCUGUGCUAAAGAACAGGAAAGAAAGGAAUAAAUAUGAAAAUUAUAUAGAAAAUCUAUCCAUACUGGACUCGGUAACCACUAAGAGAUGGAGGAGGACAGAAAGGUGAAGUAUAUUUAGAGUUUGAUUUCCAUAACUGGAGGAAGAACAAUAUCAUUAAGGUCCAGAGUGAGCAGGGGCAAGACCUGGCUUGAGAGCUGGAAUUCAACAGAUGGGAUACAAUUUGGGAAGUACUAACACAACAACCAAACAAAAAACAUUACAUCUAAAGGUAACUAUAGGUAUCAGAAGCACAGAUGUGAGUCAAGACAAGAUGAGUGUGAGGAAGUAAAAACAAGUGAAGUCUACAUUCCAGAAUUGUGAAGCUAAAGAAAAGGAGAAAAAAAGGAGACUUUGAAUAGCUGGCAGGGUUUGAAUCCACUUGUUUUGUUUCUUGUGAUUUUAGAGCAGAUAAACCAAAGUGCAUUUGUUCCAAAGUGAAAGGAGCCAAACAGAGAGGGUAACAUCAGGGAUUCAAUAAGGAUUAGUAACACCACAGUGUCCAGAGGGUGAGGUAUCCAAAUUCAAGCCUUCAAAAUAAGCCUUAAGAAAAAUAAGUUGUUUUUCCAGUCUUGAAAUAGAGGAGAAAGGAUGUGAAGAUAAAGGGAUAGUCUGGGAUAGAAAUGUAGGAAGAAGCUAAGCGUCACAUCGGACAACUCUGACCUGAUAAUAUGUCAGACUGUAUCAUUCUUUAAAUAUGUGGAGGCGAAAGAGAUAGGGAAGGAGAUGGAAUUUUAAAGAAAGUGGAAAGGGCCUGAAAUUGCAGCUCUGUGGAAUGUUCAAGAAAGUAACAAAGAGAUGAAUGUAAGAACUAUUGAACAAUAGUGCUGGUUUGGUUGAACUUUUUAUUAAAACAAUUCCUUUGCUGUGACAACCAUUACUGAGCUAAAAGAUGAAGUAUUUUGAAAUUGUCCACUUUUAGUGGGAACCAAUAUACUUCCCAAAGACUUCAAGAAAAUCAAAGUGUGUAGUAAAAAUACUAUACUCUAGAUUAAAAAAAAUCAUAAAAGUGUUCUCUUCAAAUUGAGGAGCAAGACAUUAUUAAAUAAAAUAUGACCUAAGUGUGUCUAAGUGAAGUUGUUAGACAUUUUGGGUACAUGGCAAGGAGCCACUGCACUUCAUGUUUGAUUUAUCUGCAAGAAAACCUGCUGCCCUUAAACCUCGGGAGACCUUUUGCAUAUUAAGGAGACAAAUUGUGUCAAUACUACAUAUGUUUAAAAGUUACUGUGAAUCCAUAAAGAGAGUGAUUAUUUUGAAAACAACCACAAAGAUAUUUUUAGAAACCGUGGGGUUUAUAUUUAUGCCAUAGCAUACUGACCACAAUUAUAAACUUCCAGUUAUAUAGAGUAUGGAGAGAAAUCUAUACAUGUAUGAACAAAGAGACAGUAACAGAACUCUCCAUGUAAUUGCAAAGGGUGUUAAGUAAAAUGAUUUGUCCAACUAUUCUUUGGUAAAUCUAAGCACUUCAGAACAAUAUAAUAAUCAUCUGCCUACGAAAUUGUUGAGAAUCAGUGGUUGAGAGAGAAAACUUAACAACUUUCAUCCCAUGUAUCCUGGCAGGGCAAGUUCCGUAGCAGUUUUAAGAACAGUCACUGUUCUAUAAGUUCUUUUGUACCAUUUUUUGUUAGAGUCCACAUAUUAGUGAUCGCAUAUGUUAUAUCUUUGUCUUUCUGACAUACUUCAUUUAACAUGAUCAUUUCUAGGUCCAUCCAUGUUGCUGCAAAUGGUAUUAUUUCAUUCCUUUAUAUAAUAGUAGGUAGGGGGUAUAGAUUUUUCUAUAUAUAAAAUAAAUAGGUAACAAGGACUUACUGUAUAGCACAGGGUAAUAUAAUCAAUACUAUUUAAUAACCUAUAUGUGAAAAUAAUCUGAACAGGAAAGGGCACAUGUAUAUGUAUAACUGAUUUAGUUUGCUAUACACCUGAAUCUAACACAACUUUCUAAGUAAACUAUAUUCCAAUAAAAUCUAUUUCAAGAAGAAGAAGGAGAGGGAGAAGGAGGAGGAGGAGAAGAAGGAGAAAGAGGGGGAGGAGGAAGGGGAAGAGAAUAAGAAAGGUCCCUUUUUCUAGAUUUCCUGGUGCCCAACAAGGUAUCUGAUCUUCACUGGCAGAUAAAAGGGGGUCUAUGUGAGCUUGAGUUGCAACUAAUCUUGCUACCUCUGCAUGAGCACAUAGCAUGCAGAGAAAUAUGCCAUGGAAAUUAAUGAGAAGACUCUGCGUGGGAGGCCAACCUCAUUCUCUGCCAGAGUCUGUGCUUUCAUUAAUCAUGGUGGAAGGUACUUUUAGGCACUCUUAAUCCUUUUGGGUUUUCACAUACACCUCUCUGUGAACAUCAUGGCUUCUGUGGGGACUCGGGGGAGACAUGUAACUUUGCCAUAAGGUAUAGUUUUUGCCGGUAUUUUCUGAAAUCCAUUCCUUUUUCACAACAAAUUUUAUUUUACCAUUCUCAUCUUCAUUUCCCAUCCUCCCAGAUUUCAUAUUUUGGAGCACUGAGAAACAACAAUAUGACUCAUCACACUACAUUACAAAUGCUUACUUCUUUUUAUCUCUUAAUGACAGAGGGGGGAUACACAGAACUACAGGCAGGAGUGCAGGUACUAGGAACCAGGAGAGCUCUAUACCAGUGGGAUAAUGUGAACAGAGCUUGUGAUGCACCUUCCAGAAUUUGCUUCUUCACUCUUCAAGCAAGAAAGACUUGGUAUUCUCUAACUAUCCUUUCCUGGUCUAUUACAUCAUGUACAGUAGUGUAAGUGACACGUUUGUUCAUAUAAAAGACAAUGGAAAAGGCCAGUUGGGCUAUUAAGACUUCACAUUAAAAAGAAAAACUCAAGCUUUGGUACAGUUGAUCUGAGAGGGGUGAGAACAUUCAUGCUGUAGAGCAGUUUCAGAAACUGACUCACAUAGUCGAGAUAAAUUAGGAACAAAUCAUUGUAUUAGAUAACGUGUGUAUAUAGUACAUAUAAAUUUGUGUAUAUAUGUGUCCUAUUUUUCCCAUAAAUGAGAAAACAUACCAAAUAUUUUAACUCAUUACUUGGCUUUAACUCUACUGCAUUACUUGAACAAAAUGCUACAGUGAAAUUCUUGAUUGAAAGUCUUGAGUCCUGAGUCUUGCAAAAUGUUGGGGCUUUUAUAACUAAUAAUCUAUAAUUAGAGAGCUGGAGAUAGCCUGGAUCUUGGGCCACUGGCCAGAUAGAGGACAACACAGAGGUGUGUAGACAGAGAGCCACAUUUUUGUUUUUUCUCGGCACAGACAAAAGUAACAAGGAAAUCCCACAAUGGUUCUAAGGACCCCUGUCCUGCCAUGUUCUCUCUUGAGAUAAUAAAGUUCAGGUGAACUCUAAAUGUAAUAUUUGGUGAAGGAUGGUUCAUCUGAAACAUAAGAAUACAAAUGAUGGGAAGUGAAUAAUGUGGCAACUAUUAAUGGACACCUUAAACAUGUCUCAUACUGUGGUACAAACUUUACAUGUAUGGUUUGCUUCCUCUUCACAACUAUCUACUAAAAUGAGUAUUACUUUCAUUCCUAUUUCACAUAUGAAGAUAUUAGGGCUUAGAAAGUUUAAUUUACUUGGUCAAGGAGAUGGCUUAAUAACUGGCAGAGUGGGGAGAAAAGUUUGCAUCUGCCUCUUUCCCAUUUCUAUGCUCUGUUCAGGGCAUCAAAUUAUACCUAUGGGCAUCCUGCAUACCUCAGAGAGCUCACUCCCUCCAAGGGGGCAAGGAUCCUCUAAUCUUCCACUAGUACUUCUAAAUUUAGAAUCUUUGCUAAAUGUUUCAUUAACUUAGUAAUCUUUUUAUUUAAUGAAAACACUUCUCACUCAUAUAUUAAGCUUAAAAGAAAACCAACAUGAUUUUAAAAUGCCUUAUGUAUAUGUCACAUGAAAAUAUAUACGCUUAACUUCCUCAUCUAAUUGUCAUAUUAGCUUGCUGCUGGGAACUCUGAGCAAUCUGUAUUCUUGAAGUCAUGCUAUUUGUCAAUAAUUCAGAGAGAUUUUAAGAAUGUGCACCACAAUUAUUUAUUGCUUUACCCAAAGUCUUCCAGAAUUUAUAGUCCCUAAUCUGUAGUAUAUAUUUUAUGAAUCCUUAAGUAUGCAAAAAGUAAGAGAGGAGUCCAAUUCCAGUUCAAUUUAAGCUAUUGCCCUUGGAAAGAACUACAUUAUUAAAGUUUGAUCAUAUAUUUUGCUGUCAUGUCUGUGGCUAAUGUACUUUCUUCAGCCCAUGCCCUGAUUAGUUUGUAGUCAUUAUUUAAAACCAUUCUAUGAGUGUUUGUUGGUAGGAAAAUGCUUGAUUCAGAUCUCAGUAAAUGUCACUGCUGCCUCACCAUUAAAUCUUACUCAAUUGUUGGCACUUACUGUUUUUGGAGCACUUAAUAUUUUUGAUAAGAAAAUAAUGGUUAUUUAUUUAGGUUUCCAACUUCUCUGAAUUGCUUUUAACACAUGUAACAUACAGAAAUCUGUAAGAAUUCUGAGAUGUCAAAACCUGUAUUAUUGACACACAUAUUUAUUUCACCAAUGGGCUUUAUAACUGCCAUUCAACAGCACCUGAUAAAUUAUUUUGACAGCUCAUUCAAAAAGUUUAGGGCUUUUUAAAUGUUUUAAAUUCAUCAUAUUUGAGGUUUUAAAAAAUAUUUAAGAAUACUUAUUUUGCUAUUUCUGAUCAAUCUGACUCUCUACACAGUUUAAAACAUCUCAAACAGCAAAAUAUGCAUAAAUUUAAGAAAUAUCAGUUUGAGACUCACAAACAAAACACUUAUUUAAGGUGCUCUAGGGCCAAGGAGGAGAACACAGCAUUGUUCUUUUUGAUUAGUUCCAACUGUUUUCUUCUUCAGUUCACUAGAGAAUUAGUUUAUGAAAUGCCUGUGAUCUGAGAUUAACAGAUGCCACCAUUCUGUUUUACAUGAUAAAGUGAAUCCCAUGGCAUUUAUGGAUUUUUCUUUUUGAAAAGUGAAAUGCAGUUGAGCAUGGCAGUGAAAGCCUUAACCAGAUCUCUUGAGUUAGAAUCCUGACUCUUCCUGUUCCAACUUGUGUGACCUUGAGCAUGUCUCAAUCACAAGUUAUUAUCUGGAAACUGGUGAUUAAAUAGUAUCCACUUCAUAGUAACCUUUAAAGGAUUAAAUAAAUCUGGUGUACUCAACAUCUAGAUCAGUGGGGGGCACAAAGCAUGUUCCUAAAGUGUCCCUAUU